CCUUUCGGUUGAUCCCGCCGGACCCCACUGCUAUCGAGGUGGGACUUAGCCAUGCUAGUCGAACGAACAGAACUAUGUCUGUAAGUGGCAUACUGCUCAGUAACACGUAGCUAACCUACCCUUAGGACGUCGAUAACCCCGAGAAAUUGGGGCUAAUAGGCGAUAGAUGUAUUGUCCUGGAAUGGUAAUACGUCCAAAGGUAUCCCAUACAUGUUUGGUAUACGCCUAAGGAUGGGGCUGCGGCCGAUCAGGCUGUUGGUGAGGUAAUGGCUCACCAAACCUUUGACCGGUAUGGGCCAUGAGAGUGGUAGCCCAGAGAUGGACACUGAGACAAGGGUCCAGGCCCUACGGGGCGCAGCAGGCGCGAAACCUCCUCAAUGCACUAACGUGCGAAGGGGUUACCUCGAGUGCCACCUGAAGAAGGUGGCUUUUCCUUGGUCUAAAAAGCCUCGGGAAUAAGAGGGGGGCAAGACUGGUGUCAGCCGCCGCGGUAACACCAGCCCCUCGAGUGGUGGGGAUGAUUAUUUGGCCUAAAGCGUCCGUAGCCGGCCGGGUAAGUUUCCCGUUAAAUCCAGCGUCUCAAGCGUUGGACUGCGGGAAAUACUGCCUGGCUAGAGAGUGGGAGAGGUCAGCGGUAUUCUGGGGGUAGGGGCGAAAUCCUUUGAUCCCCGGAGGACCACCAGUGGCGAAGGCUGCUGACUAGAACACGUCUGACGGUCAGGGACGAAAGCUGGGGUAGCGAACCGGAUUAGAUACCCGGGUAGUCCCAGCCGUAAACGAUGCAUGCUAGGUGUUGGGUUGGCCACGAGCCACCCCAGUGCCGCAGGGAAGCCGUUAAGCAUGCCGCCUGGGAAGUACGAUCGCAAGAUUGAAACU
Molecule: ribosomal RNA, 876 nt
Filed under: uncultured archaeon
Lineage: Archaea
Description: bacterial SSU rRNA
Rfam family: Archaeal small subunit ribosomal RNA
Source: RNAcentral